This is a long non-coding RNA of Scylla paramamosain (green mud crab), 802 nucleotides long. RefSeq lists it as uncharacterized. The record is from RefSeq and is a predicted model, not a curated record. NCBI's taxonomy places the organism in Eukaryota, Metazoa, Arthropoda, Malacostraca, Decapoda, Portunidae. The transcript is spliced from 2 exons.
CCGUUUCUACUGGGCAGGGAGAGGCGGGAGCAUAGUCACUUGGUACUGGAGCGGAAGGUAAUCAGGUCGCAUUGGCCUCAGGUCAGAUGAUCCUCAAGACAGAUCGGCCUGAGUGUAAAUAAGCCUCAGGACGUUUGGUUCUCGAAACACUUGGUACUCAAACCACUUGGUCUCUAAAAUGUCUCAGAGUGAUUGGUAAUUAGGGAAAAGUGUACCAAGUGGGAGUCAAACGGUUAAACAUCAAUUAUACAGCUUUGUGACUCGUCUCUGAUCGCCGCCACACACACACACACACUCAGGGCGGUGAAGCGGGUGGAAGUGCAUUGUUAUUACCUCCAUACGCCACGGUAUGCUUACCGCCCCUCCAAGCCUUGCCCCUCCAAGCCUUGGCCCUAGACUCGGGUGUGUAGGAGGAAGAGGAGGAGGCGGGGCAAGGAGGAGUAUGGGUACCAUUCGCCCCAGUACCAAGUGACUGCAAACCAAGAGAGCCGGGGUUGGUGGCGCGGCCCUGUAAUCCGGCGACGCGGAGGCUUGGCCCAGUGGACGGCUUGAGGCGAGGGUGGCUGCUGCGGGACUCGCCAUGUUGAGUGGGCGUCCGCACUAAGCUCGGCAUCAAUAUGGCCGCCCCUGGGGAGCCGGGGGCGUCCAGGUUGCCUAAGGAGGUGUGAACCAGGCCAGGGGGGAAACCCAGCAGCCAAAAGCACCCGUGUGGAGCAGCAGUGGGAUCGCGGCCGUGAGUGGGCGGCGCGCAGUAGCCUUGCCAACACAGGCGAACCUGGUACUUUUAUUUUAUUCUUCUCAU